AUAAUACCUUUUAAGCACGAGUUGUCCUGCACGGUACUCACGAGAAGAACUUUCUUGUCAAAAGCUCGUUUGAGUCGUCGUUGGUAUAACUGACCAUGGCAAAUGGACGUCAAACGCUUUUCUUCGAUUAGAUUCAGCUGGUCAUAUCGUGAUUGAACCCAUUCAGCUUCAUCAAGGUCAGCCUCCAUGAUGAACCUGAGUGAAGGGAUCUCGACUUCAAUUGGUAGGAC
Molecule: long non-coding RNA, 230 nt
Filed under: Lathyrus oleraceus (garden pea)
Lineage: Eukaryota; Viridiplantae; Streptophyta; Magnoliopsida; Fabales; Fabaceae
Description: Pisum sativum (pea) long non-coding RNA (PSAT_LNC009562)
Source: RNAcentral